This 253-nucleotide ribosomal RNA is filed under the name uncultured bacterium. RNAcentral describes it as "partial 16S ribosomal RNA". It matches the Rfam family "Bacterial small subunit ribosomal RNA", at positions 524 to 776 of the family's 1533-position model. The record is from RNAcentral.
UACGUAGGGACCAAGCGUUGUUCGGAUUUACUGGGCGUAAAGGGCGCGUAGGCGGCAUAUUAAGUCAGCUGUGAAAUCUCCGAGCUUAACUCGGAACUGUCAGCUGAUACUGAUGUGCUAGAGUGCAGAAAGGGCAAUCAGAAUUCUUGGUGUAGCGGUGAAAUGCGUAGAUAUCAAGAGGAAUACCUGAGGCGAAGGCGGGUUGCUAGGCUGACACUGACGCUGAGGCGCGAAAGCCAGGGGAGCAAACGGG